GCAGCCUGGGAAUUUCGGUCGGGCGGGCAGUCCCCACCCCACGGACGGGGCGUGGCUUCUCCAGAUGUGGGCGGGGCUCCGAGGACCGUGGCUGGCGGGACCCGGGCCUCGGCCGGGCUGGCUGGGUCCCCGCAGGGCCUGCGUCUCUCCAGGCAGCACCCAUGGAAGGACCUACUAUGUGCUGGUCACUGCCACAGUGGGAGGAGUCAGAGGUGAGGAAAUCUCGGUCCCAGAGCAGGGACUGGCAGCAGAGACAGGAGAUUCUUAGAGACUCUUCGGCCGCAGGGGGACCAACAGCCCAGCUUGCCCAGCACUGAGUCGCCCCAGAACACAGGGCUGCCAGUUUUCAAAGCAGGGUUAUCAGCAGAAAACACAGGCCCAAAUGGGCACGUCGGUGGAGCUGAGCCUGUCGCCUAAUCGAGUGCCACUGAGGAGUCCUCGUGGUGUCUCCCUGCAGAGGUCACACUGGGGUCAGAACCGAGGCUGCCUUGGGCAAGGGCCAACCGCAAAGCUGUUUCUGAAACCAUAAAGUACCAAGAGAAUGCCCUGUGUUACAAUUAAUAAAUAGCAUUGUUAAUUGACGUGAA
Chlorocebus sabaeus (green monkey) is the source of this 587-nucleotide non-coding RNA. The record is from RefSeq and is a predicted model, not a curated record. Lineage: Eukaryota; Metazoa; Chordata; Mammalia; Primates; Cercopithecidae.